This is a long non-coding RNA of Cygnus olor (mute swan), 1350 nucleotides long. RefSeq lists it as uncharacterized. Lineage: Eukaryota; Metazoa; Chordata; Aves; Anseriformes; Anatidae. The transcript is spliced from 4 exons. The record is from RefSeq and is a predicted model, not a curated record.
CAAUUCUUUUUUGCUUUUAGAUCAUUUCUCUUGAAGCUAGUCACCCUACUGUGGGCAGAUCUCUGCUGCUCACUGCUCUGACUGCUGGCCAUUGGACCCUGCUUUGGCUAGCAUUUCAAAGAGAGGUGCUAGAGAUGGCAGAGCAGAAGAACAAGAGAUGAUAUGGAGUGUCCAGUAUUGCCAUAAAGGCAAUACUGGACACCACGGAAACCUCCUUGGUACGGUGAGGCUCAGAAAUUGGGGAGCGGCCAUUUCACCUGCUCUGCUGGGUUGUAGGACUCCGCAGUUCACAGAAGGAGAGUCGCACCUGAUUGGCAUUGGCAUCCAUCCACCAGAAGGCAUUAGCAGCACGCUCAGAAAUCACACCAAGGUGAUCUGACCGGUGUCUCCAUAUGGAAGUCUCUCUGUGUCCAAAUAACUUCUGUCAGCAGUCGCCAAGCUCCUCCCUGUUCAAACUUACCAGACCGAGGAUGAGUGCGACUGAUGCAAGAGCUCCACUCAUUUUUUCACGCGAAGGGUGCGUACAGAAUGGUGGUAUUCAGACAUCACACACUGACCCAGGAGAAGCUUUCUGUGAAUAUUUGAAAGCUGUAAAUAAGGAAGUAACAGAGCUACUUCAAAAGUAAUUCCACCCCAAGCAAACUUUUACAAUAAGGAUUGAACUAACGAUCAGUCCAAGCCAUUUUCUGUGCUGAGACUCGCAUUGCCUCCUUGUACAAAGCCAUGCUUUUCAAGCAGUUUUACCAAAAUUGCUGGUGACACCUCCACAGGAACAAGCAUCCCCAUGCUGGGGCUGGAGGCUGGACACCACAGAAGCAGUUUCUGUAUUUCACCUUUAAUCAUUUUUUAAAAGCCAGCUAUUGAUUUUUCACUUCCAAGAGGAAUCUGCAACAGCCGUGAGGGUUGUUUGGUUGUUGUUGUUUGACUUUUUGACUUUUAUUUCCAUUCUUUACACCGCUUUUGUAAUUGCAAGGGAGAGAUCCACAUCUGAGAACCUUGACAGGGGGUGUUAAGGACUUCUGCUGCUGACAGCGGUCCCACAGCAGUGGGAGGUUGCAGGGAGCCUGGGGAUUGUCAGGGUGAAGGGAGCACCACGCUCAGCUCGUUGCACUCCUUGCACAGCAUGGGACACAAAGCUUCAGUCGAGUAACUUGUGGCUGAACCAGAGCAUAUCUUUGAGAAAGGCACACUCUAUCGUGCUGCAAUUUAUUCCUGACUGUCCUUUUUUUUCCUCUGUAUUUCCACAGUGCAUGGAUCUCUGUAUGCAAGAUUAACAUCUGGAAAGAGUUAUCUGAAGGUGAUGUUGUCCUGUUUCUGAACCUAAAUUCAAGCCCUGUCCCUGCUAAUAGA